AAUGAACGCUGGCGGCGUGCUUAACACAUGCAAGUCGAGCGAGGCGGAAGGGGGCAACUCCUUCCAGUCGAGCGGCGGACGGGUGAGUAACACGUGGGUAGCCUGCCCGGAAGUGGGGAAUACCUCGGGGAAACUCGAGCUAAUACCGCAUGACAUCUUCGGGACGAAAGUCCUGACGAUCAAAGCGGGGUCGCAAGAUCUCGCGCUACCGGAUGGGCCCGCGCCCGAUUAGCUAGNGGUGAGGUAACGGCUCACCAAGGCUUCGAUCGGUAACCGGCCUGAGAGGGCGAUCGGUCACACCGGAACUGAGACACGGUCCGGACUCCUACGGGAGGCAGCAGUGGGGAAUCUUGCGCAAUGGGCGAAAGCCUGACGCAGCAACGCCGCGUGGAGGAUGAAGGCCC
This 404-nucleotide ribosomal RNA is filed under the name uncultured bacterium. RNAcentral describes it as "bacterial SSU rRNA". It matches the Rfam family "Bacterial small subunit ribosomal RNA", at positions 29 to 417 of the family's 1533-position model. The record is from RNAcentral.